AUGCAUCUACAGAUACAUGUCGAUGUUUUCUACGAAAUUUCAUCGGAUUUUACUCCCAUCAUCUCUCUUCUUCUGUAUCUUCUAUGGAAUUUUCUCCGUGAGCUUUUGCUGGAUUUCUCAGUAACAACACGAGAAUUUCUCUGUCGUUCUUCUUUACUCACUGGUAUUUGAUUAAAAUUGGCUGUAUCAUUGUGAAGAGACGGUGUUUAUAGCAAGAAAAAGCUACCUGUAGCUUAAACCCCAAAGUUAACUCCUUCUCACUGUAAGACCUUCUUUGCCACCUCAUUUGUAUUCUUUAUGAUUAUUUUUAGUUGAAUAUUGUAUUUUGCUCUGUUAAUCAAAAUUUGGUUUUCUUAA
Non-coding RNA from Nicotiana tabacum (common tobacco), 357 nucleotides. The record is from RefSeq and is a predicted model, not a curated record. NCBI's taxonomy places the organism in Eukaryota, Viridiplantae, Streptophyta, Magnoliopsida, Solanales, Solanaceae.